ACCCGUCUAGCUCAGUCGGUAGAGCGCUGGCCUUUUAAGCCCAGUGGUCGUGGGUUCGAGCCCCACGGGGGGUG
Molecule: transfer RNA, 74 nt
Organism: Phytophthora infestans T30-4
Lineage: Eukaryota; Oomycota; Peronosporomycetes; Peronosporales; Peronosporaceae
Rfam family: tRNA
About the family: Transfer RNA (tRNA) molecules are approximately 80 nucleotides in length.
Source: Rfam